GGGGAAUAUUGGGCAAUGGGCGCAAGCCUGACCCAGCGACGCCGCGUGGGUGAUGAAGGCCUUCGGGUUGUAAAACCCUUUCGUGCGGAAAGAACAGCCCUGUAGUUAAUAUCUGCAGGGUUUGACGGUACCGCAGGAAGAAGCACCGGCUAACUCCGUGCCAGCAGCCGCGGUAAUACGGAGGGUGCAAGCGUUGUUCGGAAUUAUUGGGCGUAAAGGGCGCGUAGGUGGUUGUGAUAGUCAGAUGUGAAAUCCUUUGGCUUAACUGAAGAACUGCAUCUGAAACUUCAUAACUCGAGUACAGGAGAGGGAAACGGAAUUCCCGGUGUAGAGGUGAAAUUCGUAGAUAUCGGGAGGAACACCAGUGGCGAAGGCGGUUUCCUGGCCUGAUACUGACACUGAGGCGCGAAAGCGUGGGGAGCAAAC
This 426-nucleotide ribosomal RNA is filed under the name uncultured bacterium. RNAcentral describes it as "bacterial SSU rRNA". It matches the Rfam family "Bacterial small subunit ribosomal RNA", at positions 356 to 773 of the family's 1533-position model. The record is from RNAcentral.